RNAcentral lists this transfer RNA (74 nucleotides) under Danionella translucida. It matches the Rfam family "tRNA". From Rfam's summary of the family: Transfer RNA (tRNA) molecules are approximately 80 nucleotides in length. Their secondary structure includes four short double-helical elements and three loops (D, anti-codon, and T loops). The record is from Rfam by way of RNAcentral. Lineage: Eukaryota; Metazoa; Chordata; Actinopteri; Cypriniformes; Danionidae. RNAcentral also lists the same sequence under 1 other name.
GUCUCUGUGGCGCAAUCGGUUAGCGCGUUCGGCUGUUAACUGAAAGGUUGUUGGGUCAAGCCCACCCAGGGAGG